AAGCGUUUAUGACCAGACUUGGGCCCGGUGAAUCAUCCAGCGUUCUCGCUGGUGCACUUUGCCGGGCUCAGGCCAGCAUCAGUUCGUCGCGGGGGACAAAAGCUUCGGGAACGUGGCUCCCUCGGGAGUGUUAUAGCCCGUUGCAUAAUACCCUGCGGUGGACUGAGGUUCGCGCUCCGCAAGGAUGCUGGCGUAAUGGUCAUCAGCGA
This 209-nucleotide ribosomal RNA is filed under the name Tolypocladium sp. RNAcentral describes it as "partial large subunit ribosomal RNA". Lineage: Eukaryota; Fungi; Ascomycota; Sordariomycetes; Hypocreales; Ophiocordycipitaceae. The record is from RNAcentral.